Molecule: microRNA precursor, 103 nt
Filed under: Marmota monax (woodchuck)
Lineage: Eukaryota; Metazoa; Chordata; Mammalia; Rodentia; Sciuridae
Source: RNAcentral
AAUGGGAUAGCUGGGUCAAAUGGUGGUUCCAUUCCAAGUUUUCCAAGGAAUUGCCAUACUGCUUUCCAUAUUGGCUGCAGCAAUUUGCAGUCCCACCAGCAAU